Long non-coding RNA from Aethalodelphis obliquidens (Pacific white-sided dolphin), 113 nucleotides. RefSeq lists it as uncharacterized. The transcript has 3 exons. Lineage: Eukaryota; Metazoa; Chordata; Mammalia; Artiodactyla; Delphinidae. The record is from RefSeq and is a predicted model, not a curated record.
AGCUGGGUGUCCUACAAUUUAACUAGUUCUAACACUAUCUACCUAGAGAUGGUGUCAGAUCCCACAGAUUUAAGGGCUCAGUCCUACAACACUGCUCCCCACUCCUACUUCAG